GAUGAAGAACGUAGCGAAAUGCGAUAAGUAAUGUGAAUUGCAGAAUUCAGUGAAUCAUCGAAUCUUUGAACGCAUCUUGCGCUCCUUGGUAUUCCUUGGAGCAUGCCUGUUUGAGUAUCAUGAGCAAAUCUCAAAGUCAAUUCCUUUUGUUAAUUCAAUUGGUUUUGCUUUGGACUUGGAGGUCUUGCAGAUUUCACAGUCUGCUCCUCUUAAAUGCAUUAGCUGGAUCUCAGUAAUUAUGCUUGGUUCCACUCGGCGUGAUAAGUAUCACUCGCUGAGGACACUGUUAAAAAGGUGGCCAGGAAAAUACUGAUUGAACCGCUUCUAACGGUCUAUUAAGUUAGACAAUUGACCCCUUAAGUUUGAUCUCAAAUCAGGUAGGACUACCCGCUGAACUUAAGCAUAUCAAUAAGCGGAGGA
This 420-nucleotide unclassified non-coding RNA is filed under the name soil metagenome. RNAcentral's name for it is "partial contains 5.8S ribosomal RNA, internal transcribed spacer 2, and large subunit ribosomal RNA". The stretch from base 1 to 120 matches the Rfam family "5.8S ribosomal RNA", at positions 35 to 154 of the family's 154-position model. The record is from RNAcentral.